Daucus carota subsp. sativus is the source of this 3531-nucleotide RNA transcript. It is a transcript of the gene named ruBisCO large subunit-binding protein subunit alpha, with no coding region annotated. The transcript has 14 exons. Lineage: Eukaryota; Viridiplantae; Streptophyta; Magnoliopsida; Apiales; Apiaceae. The record is from RefSeq and is a predicted model, not a curated record.
UGUGCUAUACUAAUGUUUACAAAUCGUCUCCUGCUGGGAGUCUCUCUCCCAACACCUCCAAAACCUGUUAGGACUCUCCCUCCCAACAGAGAUUGACGCAGCAAAGUUACAGACGAAUAACAGGAACAACAGGAGGAGGUGGAGUCUGGAGAAGCAGUGGUUCGCCAUCAGAAGCUUUGUCUCUCAAUUGAUAUAGACAAGCGUUGAAUUUACUGGUCUCUCUCCCUCCCUCUCUGGCUCUCUCCCCUUUAAACUCUAUUUAUCUAUUUGCUCGAAUUCGUUAGUACAAUCUCUCUCUCUCUCUCUCUCCCUUCCUCCCUCUAUCCCCUUUAAUACUCUAUUAAUCUAUUUGCUCGAAUUCGUUAGUACAAUUUGUUAAUUUGCUUUUUUUGGUGAUUGAUACGCCCCUGUUUUCAUGUCCUGAGAGCGGCGCUUCAGAGCGGGAUUGAUAAGCUUGCUGAUACUGUUGGUCUUACUCUUGGUCCCAGAGGGAGGAAUGUUGUGUUGGAUGAAUUUGGAACCCGUAAAGUGGUUAAUGAUGGUGUCACAAUUGCUCGAGCUAUAGAGCUGCCUGAUGCCAUGGAGAAUGCUGGUGCUGCUCUUAUUAGGGAGGUUGCGAGUAAAACCAAAGAUUCUGCUGGUGAUGGCACAACAACUGCGUCCAUUCUUGCACGUGAAAUAAUUAACCUUGGACUCUUGAGUGUGACCUCUGGUGCUAAUCCUGUUUCUAUUAAGAAAGGGAUAGAUAAAACCGUCCUAGCCCUGACUGAAGAGCUAGAGAAUAAAGCAAGACCCGUUCAUGGUCGUGAUGACAUUAAAGUUACACAGAGCUUCAGGUGGUUGUUCCUGAAAAUGGAAUUGUUGGGUUGCAUGCUGACAAUUUGGUAAUUGAGAGAGUAACAGUAAAUAGGGAGGUGGCAGAGUUUGAAGUCUAUCCUCAUUAUUUACAUUUGGAUAACGAUAAUAGAUGGUGUUCAGUUUCAUCAGCGAGUUCAGCAGCUGAUGCUGCUGGUUCGGUCUACUUAUCAUCUAUUGACAGAGAAUUAGUUCCCAACUUAUUAAUAAUGUGUGCGUCCAAGGAUGUACAGUCUGUGGAAUGAACACCAAAAAGGCCAAGAAAACUCAGAUAACGGGCUGCAAUCUUCAGGUGAAUUCAAACAGGUGGACAAAGCAACAUCUGAUCUUAAGAACACCAAUGUUAGACAGAAGGACAUUGUUACCCAGCUGAGAUCAAGUCGAAAUUUUGUAUCGAUAUAAUUUUGUUGUGCAUAAUAUUGGGGAUUGCAGCCUAUCUUUACAAGCAGCAUCACUGAGCGUUGAUCAUCCAUGGAUACAAGGCGUCCAAGUGAUCGGGAUUCUGAUGUUAUUAUACAUGGACAGAAUUGAAUAAAUGUUUAAUGGAGGCUCCUUCCAAAUGGCCUAUCAAUGCAAUCGCUGCAAAUUCCAUGUACGGAAUAUGUCAAACAAUUUUGCAGGACUACUAAUUCAAGGCUGGAGGAAGCGAUGAAAUAUUGUUUGAGAAGCUGUCUGUUAUGAUCUCUGAUAUUAUCAGUGCCUGCCUUACUAACUUGAAAGAUGUGAUAACCAAAUAAAGAAGAAAAUGUCCGACAUGAUGUUUUGCUACUUGGACAAACAGAAAAAAUAGUGAAAAAUAUUGAACUCAUACCAACCCCAGGGUUGACUCCAGAUGUAAGGGCUCACAUUGAUCAUUGGCGUUGUUUCAGCAAGUGUAUGAGCAUCUUCGACUACAUUCUACUGGUACAAAUAUAUGAGCAGUAAUUCUUUUACUCUGUCUAGCAUGCACAUAUCCAUCGAGUGGAAUCAAAUGCCUGCACUUGGAAAACAAAGCUGAGUUGGAAUUCGUUGUGUUUAAUCAAAGGUGUUCUGUACGUACGCAUCCCCCUGAAGAAGCUGCUCUUGGCAAAUCAGAAGGAAAUACUAAAAAUGCAGAAACUAUAAGUAAAAGUAAGGAAGAGGCUUCUAGGAGUACAUGCAAUAUUGCAACUAUACUGGAAGCAGAAUUCCCGGAAAACAAGUGUUAUCAAUAUAGCCACAGACCAUCUUUUUCUGGUAGUGAUUAUGAAGAUUAUAAAGAUGGUGCUCAUCAUGAUUUGGAAAAAUCUUAUAAUUAUGUAAGAAAUCCUGCACCAAAUUCUUUGAAUGGAUUUCAGAAGCCAUGAGUGACCCCUGAUCUCCAUCACUCAGAUAGUUUUAGAAGUCAGUUUGGAAAAGUAAAAUAUAGGGAUGGAAAAGAUGCUGCCAGAUAUGGAAAAUGCAUUCAUCCGAAGAGGGAUAGUCUAUAUGAUAGUUCUGGAUUGAAGUCAUCUACCAGUGGCCUUAGAGGUACUUCAAAUUCUGUGACCGACAGAGACUAUGGCCAUCAUUUAGAACAUGAUCAUAGCCGACAGAAGGAUAAGCUAUAUGAUUAUAGUGGUUAUCACUCAAACAUUCGAGAGGUUUAUCAUAGCGAAGAAACACACAUCCUUCUUGUCGAGGCAAUUGAAGGGAGAUGCAAAGUGAGAAUGAAAAGUGAUCUUCCGUCAUGUGAAUCCCCCGUUAUAUAUGAGCAUGUGUUCUUUUGUGAAUAUCUUAUGAUCCUCAUAAAGGUUCUCUAAAGCAGGUAUAUGAGAAAGCUAAGGAAUGCUCAGAACAAGUUUCAACGGAGGAAUUUGCAAUUGUUCUUGCUAAUUAAGCACUUUACAUCUUUUUAUCAGCAGGUAUCUGUGGAUUGAAAUGGGCAAUUGAAUAUGAAGAGCCUGCAGGAGAUGCGUUCAAACUCAAUCAUCCAGACACAACAAUGUUCAUCAAUAAUUGCAUGUGAUUUUAAAGGCCAUCAUGGAUAAAAGUGGAGAUGCAGAUGAUUGCAUUUCAACACUAGAGGCGACAUAUUUAGCUUCUAAAUUAAGUGAGGAGGAACUAAAGAAUUUGCCACUGCCAGGACAGGUUGAUUUUAUCAAUGGAGGCCCCCUUGUCAGGGAUUCUCUGGAAUGAAUAGAUUUAACCAGAUUUUUUGGAGUAAAGUACAAUGCGAGAUGAUUUUAGCAUUCUUAUCCUUUGAGGAUUAUUAUCGACCAAAGUAUUUUCUUCUUGAGAAUGUUUCCGUCUAGCUAUUGCUUCACUUCUUGAGAUGGGAUACCAGGUUCAGUUUUGUAUACUUGAAGCUGGAGCAUUUGGAGUUCCUCAAUCGAGGAAGCGUGAAUUUGUAUGGGCAGCAUCUCCUGAAGAAACUCUCCCUGAGUGGCCAGAACGGAUGCAUGUCUUCGCUGCACCAGAGCUAAAAGUUGCAUUACCUGGAAACAAGCAUUAUGCUGCUGUCCGGAGUACUCAAUCUGGAGCACCAUUCAGAGCUAUCACUUUAUAGUCUUGCACGCUUUAUAGCUGAAUCGAGGAAGCCUGCAUUUAUAUGUAUUUACUUUAUAGUCUUGCUUAUGAACAUUUAUUGUGUCUUUGGUAGAUAACCGGUCCAAUUAUAUCAACAUCAGACAACUAAUACAAAAUUAAGUUCUCAACAAAUCCACACUUUAGUUCUCA